GACGAACGCUUGCGGCGUGCUUAACACAUGCAAGUCGAACGGAAAGGCCCUGCUUUUGUGGGGUGCUCGAGUGGCGAACGGGUGAGUAACACGUGAGUAACCUGCCCUUGACUUUGGGAUAACUUCAGGAAACUGGGGCUAAUACCGGAUAGGAGCUCCUGCUGCAUGGUGGGGGUUGGAAAGUUUCGGCGGUUGGGGAUGGACUCGCGGCUUAUCAGCUUGUUGGUGGGGUAGUGGCUUACCAAGGCUUUGACGGGUAGCCGGCCUGAGAGGGUGACCGGCCACAUUGGGACUGAGAUACGGCCCAGACUCCUACGGGAGGCAGCAGUGGGGAAUAUUGCACAAUGGGCGGAAGCCUGAUGCAGCAACGCCGCGUGCGGGAUGACGGCCUUCGGGUUGUAAACCGCUUUCGCCUGUGACGAAGCGUGAGUGACGGUAAUGGGUAAAGAAGCACCGGCUAACUACGUGCCAGCAGCCGCGGUGAUACGUAGGGUGCGAGCGUUGUCCGGAUUUAUUGGGCGUGAAGGGCUCGUAGGUGGUUGAUCGCGUCGGAAGUGUAAUCUUGGGGCUUAACCCUGAGCGUGCUUUCGAUACGGGUUGACUUGAGGAAGGUAGGGGAGAAUGGAAUUCCUGGUGGAGCGGUGGAAUGCGCAGAUAUCAGGAGGAACACCAGUGGCGAAGGCGGUUCUCUGGGCCUUUCCUGACGCUGAGGAGCGAAAGCGUGGGGAGCGAACAGGCUUAGAUACCCUGGUAGUCCACGCUGUAAACGGUGGGUACUAGGUGUGGGGUCCAUUCCACGGGUUCCGUGCCGUAGCUAACGCUUUAAGUACCCCGCCUGGGGAGUACGGCCGCAAGGCUAAAACUCAAAGGAAUUGACGGGGCCCCGCACAAGCGGCGGAGCAUGCGGAUUAAUUCGAUGCAACGCGUAGAACCUUACCUGGGUUUGACAUGGAUCGGGAGUGCUCAGAGAUGGGUGUGCCUCUUUUGGGGUCGGUUCACAGGUGGUGCAUGGCUGUCGUCAGCUCGUGUCGUGAGAUGUUGGGUUAAGUCCCGCAACGAGCGCAACCCUUGUUCACUGUUGCCAGCACGUUAUGGUGGGGACUCAGUGGAGACCGCCGGGGUCAACUCGGAGGAAGGUGGGGAUGACGUCAAGUCAUCAUGCCCCUUAUGUCCAGGGCUUCACGCAUGCUACAAUGGCUGGUACAGAGAGUGGCGAGCCUGUGAGGGUGAGCGAAUCUCGGAAAGCCGGUCUCAGUUCGGAUUGGGGUCUGCAACUCGACCUCAUGAAGUCGGAGUCGCUAGUAAUCGCAGAUCAGCAACGCUGCGGUGAAUACGUUCCCGGG
This 1343-nucleotide ribosomal RNA is filed under the name uncultured bacterium. Its description in RNAcentral is "16S ribosomal RNA". It matches the Rfam family "Bacterial small subunit ribosomal RNA", at positions 28 to 1378 of the family's 1533-position model. The record is from RNAcentral.